RNAcentral lists this ribosomal RNA (253 nucleotides) under uncultured bacterium. RNAcentral's name for it is "partial 16S ribosomal RNA". It matches the Rfam family "Bacterial small subunit ribosomal RNA", at positions 524 to 776 of the family's 1533-position model. The record is from RNAcentral.
UACAGAGGGGGCAAGCGUUGUUCGGAAUUACUGGGCGUAAAGGGCGCGUAGGCGGCCUUCUAAGUCGAACGUGAAAUCCUCGGGCUCAACCCGGGAACUGCGUCCGAUACUGGAAGGCUUGAAUCCGGGAGAGGGAUGCGGAAUUCCAGGUGUAGCGGUGAAAUGCGUAGAUAUCUGGAGGAACACCGGUGGCGAAGGCGGCAUCCUGGACCGGCAUUGACGCUGAGGAGCGAAAGCCAGGGGAGCAAACGGG